AUUGCUGUCAUCACGCCAAUACCUCCAACUUUUUUUUCUCCAACAAAAGUUUACCUGGCAGCCAUAGUGACCUAAGGUCAUAGCAGAGCACAUGGCUGUAAAGCAAGAUGACUUGUGAGAUCAAAAAAAUAGGUACAGAGCCAUUGUGACAGUGACCAGGAAGUACUCAGUUUCAGGCUUUUUGUUGUGGAGACCUUUGACGACGCGAUCGGAUGUCCAGCUCAUGGGCUGUGUUUACUCAGAGCUGUAGAUGGUUAUUAGUUGGCCAGAGAGGCGGCCAUUCCCCCUCCAACACAAACCUCCUUUCAUCUCCAGUGCAUCAGGGCACAGAUGACACUGUGGCUCCGCGCCAGCU
Long non-coding RNA from Alosa sapidissima (American shad), 355 nucleotides. RefSeq lists it as uncharacterized. The transcript is spliced from 3 exons. The record is from RefSeq and is a predicted model, not a curated record. Lineage: Eukaryota; Metazoa; Chordata; Actinopteri; Clupeiformes; Clupeidae.